CUAAUACCGCAUAAGAUUACAGUACCGCAUGAUACAGUGAUCAAAGGAGCAAUCUGCUGAAAGAUGGGCUCGCGUCCGAUUAGAUAGUUGGUGAGGUAACGGCUCACCAAGUCGACGAUCGGUAGCCGGACUGAGAGGUUGAACGGCCACAUUGGGACUGAGACACGGCCCAGACUCCUACGGGAGGCAGCAGUGGGGAAUAUUGCACAAUGGGCGAAAGCCUGAUGCAGCAACGCCGCGUGAGGGAAGACGGUUUUCGGAUUGUAAACCUCUGUUUUCGGUGACGAAUAAAUGACGGUAACCGAGUAGGAAGCCACGGCUAACUACGUGCCAGCAGCCGCGGUAAUACGUAGGUGGCAAGCGUUAUCCGGAAUUACUGGGUGUAAAGGGAGCGCAGGCGGGAUAGCAAGUCAGUUGUGAAAACUAUGGGCUCAACCCAUAGAUUGCAGUUGAAACUGUUAUUCUUGAGUGGAGUAGAGGCAAGCGGAAUUCCGAGUGUAGCGGUGAAAUGCGUAGAUAUUCGGAGGAACACCAGUGGCGAAGGCGGCUUGCUGGGCUCUAACUGACGCUGAGGCUCGAAAGUGUGGGGAGCAAACAGGAUUAGAUACCCUGGUAGUCCACACUGUAAAC
Molecule: ribosomal RNA, 630 nt
Filed under: uncultured bacterium
Lineage: Bacteria
Description: bacterial SSU rRNA
Rfam family: Bacterial small subunit ribosomal RNA
Source: RNAcentral